This 253-nucleotide ribosomal RNA is filed under the name uncultured bacterium. Its description in RNAcentral is "partial 16S ribosomal RNA". It matches the Rfam family "Bacterial small subunit ribosomal RNA", at positions 524 to 776 of the family's 1533-position model. The record is from RNAcentral.
UACGUAGGGCGCAAGCGUUGUCCGGAAUUAUUGGGCGUAAAGCGCGCGCAGGCGGUUCUUUAAGUCUGAUGUGAAAGCCCACGGCUCAACCGUGGAGGGUCAUUGGAAACUGGAGAACUUGAGUACAGAAGAGGAAAGCGGAAUUCCACGUGUAGCGGUGAAAUGCGUAGAGAUGUGGAGGAACACCAGUGGCGAAGGCGGCUUUCUGGUCUGUAACUGACGCUGAGGCGCGAAAGCGUGGGGAGCAAACAGG